UGCUUAUAAAGUAAAAAAAAAAUGUCUCUACUAGCAGCAUAACAAUUAUUAAAUUAAGUCAGAAAAAAAAAAUCUGAUGUGAAUUUUUAUUUUUUAUUUCAGAUGAAAACACAGUGUGUCUGAAUCAUUGCCUUCAGCUGCACACAGCAACAGCAAGCACCAAAACCUUACUCCAGAAUCUGCACAGCCUACAGCCUCUGAGAGCCUCCCACAUGAGGACUGUGUAGAGGAGAGAAAAAAAACCACAGAGAAAAAGGGUCUCCAUUCAGUUGUCAAAAAGCCUCACUUCUGAAUCACUGAUCACCAGUUUACAGGCUGCCUCCAGACACGGCGCUACUCUCUCUGGGGAUUUCAUUUCCACCUCACAGAGAUCGUCAUCCUAAGACAGAAAACCAGUGCUCAGGGAGCUCCUAAUUAGCAAUGUGACUUUUCUCUAGAUUUCUCAUUCACUUGAUGUCUUCCCUUUUUUUCUCACCCUGAUGUCAGUGAUGUCAUUUCAGGUGCGAGCUCACUAGAUGGUGUUUCACCUGUCUGUGGUUAGUGUAA
Long non-coding RNA from Oreochromis aureus, 546 nucleotides. RefSeq lists it as uncharacterized. The transcript is spliced from 3 exons. The record is from RefSeq and is a predicted model, not a curated record. NCBI's taxonomy places the organism in Eukaryota, Metazoa, Chordata, Actinopteri, Cichliformes, Cichlidae.